Molecule: long non-coding RNA, 4104 nt
Organism: Gasterosteus aculeatus aculeatus (three-spined stickleback)
Lineage: Eukaryota; Metazoa; Chordata; Actinopteri; Perciformes; Gasterosteidae
Source: Ensembl
AUUUUAUUGUGUCCUUUAGCCUUCUGAUUUACUCUUCAUUGCUAUUUUGUGUUGGUUGUGGUGGUUUCAUACGGGUUGCGUGCAGAUGAAAGGGGUAGCUGUUCAGUGAUGGCAUAAACCAGUUAACGUCUACAUACGGCUGCUCGGUUGGCUGUUAUUUGUCGGAGGACAAGUCACAUGAUCCACAUCCUGAUGUGACCAUGCGCUUUCCUGGAUUCCAGAGGAAGUGGGAGGAAAGCCACAUGCCUAUGGGCUGUAAACAAAAGCAUUUGUCCACCAUGAAGUGGCAUUAUGCUUUCUAUGAGUGCUUCAGACCAGUGCCACAAACCCCAUCUGAUCCAGACACUCAAAGGCCCGGUCCUUGUUAGGUUGCAUAGUGCUGCUGAUUUAGUGAAGCAAAUAGUCCUCGAUCACUGUGGUUCUAAGUAGAUUUCAUCUGUCGCCACUUCAAAUGAAUAUUUAUUCAUUGUUGGAUAAUUUUUCAGUCGUCACUCACGGCAGAGCAGACCAUGGGGUGAAACUGGAGCUCUGUAUUGUCCAAGUACCAAUUCUGUGAGCAGAAAACAUAAAUCAUUUUCACAACGAAUGUUGAUUUUUUUUUUUUUUUAGAUUCAGUGUAACUGAACAUGGGCACCAUAUCCUAUCAUGAGGCUGGAAAACAAAGAAGAGGAAAUAACACUCAUCCGUGUCCAGAGUGGCUAUUAUACGCUUUAACAGAGCAGAGCACGGUUCCUUAAUCCCACUCAACUUCUCACUUGCUGCUUUCUACAGGCAGGUCGCCAUAAAUGGACAUGAGACACAAGACUGGGCAAGUGGAGAAAAAGCGUGUGUCUGUUCUCGGACUUUCCAUCUGAAAAAUGAUUCAGAGUUGUGAAAUAAGGCAUGACGCUUCUAUUUUGACAAUUCUCGGUUUUAUAUAAAAACGUGAAAUAUUUGUCAAUGACAAACCUGGUAUUUUAGAGAAUAUGGACACUGACGCACUACUUGGUACCAGGAAGUCAAAUGUAAACUAAGACCUUUGCGGAACACGUAUCAAUAACAACCUCAAAAUGACCAUGUGGGCUGAAAAUUAGGUGUUUGUUUGACUUUAUAUUUCAGACUGGACCAAAGUGGCGGAUCGACCGAACAGACUGACCUACUCUGCAAUCCCCAAUGCCGGGCUGUCAACAUAUAUUAUCAUCCUCUAAAGGUGGAACAUUAGUUAAACAUUAGUUUACUUUGUUAUUUAUCCUUCACAGAUUUAUCCGAGUGACACAUACAGUUGGUUUAGUUCAUUUUGAAGUGCAGUUCUGAUUUAUUUUAUCAUGCUCAGGCAGGGUUGUUCACAUCAGAUGACAUUAAUGAGCAGAGGAGGUGACUGUCGGGCACAAAGCAGGGAUUUAUGUAUAUAUUAUGUGUUAUGUGUAAAUAUCAAUGUAACUAAAGCACAUUUACACCUGCCGUUUUACACACCCAAGCUUGGCAUAACAUUUAUUUAUUAAUAAAAAAUGAGUCAAACAGCCUUUAUAAAUCAUAAUUCAUAUUUGUUUUAAUCUAAUUUACAGCAUAAGAUAGAAAGGUCCUUCGUCAGAUAAUCAUUGUAUAGGGUAACAUAUGAUAUAAUGAAGUAUUGAAUGAAACGCAUGGUCACCUAAGUAAGGGUGACCAGGGACGAACGGGCUGAAAACAACGCAUAGACCGCAGCAAAUAUUCACCAGACUUGCCAAACCUUUAUUCACUUUAAAGAUGAUAUCAAACUAAAAAUCCCCCACAUGGAAACCUGAACUGUUUUUUCUCUCUGAACAUUCAGUCGUACCGUCAGAAUUAAACAAACGUCAAACCUAGUUUGCAUUUACUUCAUAUUAGGGUUGCGUGUCACCACACAUGAAAGAAAUGAGCACGUCUCUACACGAGAGACCCUCUGCUGUGCUAAACCUGCACUAAGACACAAGCAUCAACUCGCUGAUUUCCCCCCCAAACAGCACACAACAUCAGGAGGGCGGAUAAGGAUAGAGAACUCAUUGUUUGACAUAAAAACACAAUUGCAAGUUCCAAAAAAGUAUCAAUGCCUUGCAUUCACAUGGCUGCUACGGGGGGUCAAACAUGUGACCUUUCCAUGAACAGAUCUAGGACACCAAAUUAGUCCCCCUGCAAGAAAAUAGACAGUUUGGCCAUUGUGUAUGACCAAUGCUUUACUUCUUUCAGUCAUGUUUCCCCGACCCCCCCCCCCCCACCCCCCAGCUGACCUCAUGUUAAUGCUUACAGCUUGAAGGAUACGCAAAAGCAAUAUUGUUUUUAGAUCUAGGAUGCUAAAAAUGAAGGAAAAGCAAGGAAACGGAAUGUGGGGGGGGUCAUCUUAAGGGGUAAUGGUUACUUAUCAUGGUAAGUAACCAUUACUUGCUGGUUUAAAUACAGGCGGAUUUACCAUAGAGCAGCUAUGCACUAACAGACCAUCACAUGACAGAUUAAUCUCCCUUUUGAUAAGAAACAUCAGCUUGUUUGAUCACUCAGGGAGGAUGGACGAGAACAGAAUGUAAUGGAAAUAGAUUGAAAAGAAUGUGUACACAUCAAAAGUACAUAGGCGUUUAAAAAAAACAUAUAUAGAAAUCAUGCUUACUCAAAAUCACCACCACGUCCUGUGUCAUUCGUACACAAGAGGUAAUAACAAAAAGGUGCAAAUGAGAAACAGCAGAAGUACGGUGAAUGUCUCAGAGAGCAACAUGAGCGUUUGGAUUUAAAACUUUGUCCAGCAGUAUGUAGCUCUCUUGCGUGUAAUUAAACACAACAGCAGGGUUCACGAUCACAUAUCGAUUGUUUCAUUGAGUCAAUUAAGAAAAUCCCUUGUUUGAAUCAUCCUUUUUUGCCUCAACACGUCUGAAAAGGCACUGGGCCUUAUACAGUUCAGCACGGCAGGAGUGAAAUAAAAGCAUGAAGUACUAAACUACCCACAUGGAGUAUUUUCACGGAUCGUGGUACGCUUCAUGCACAUGACAUGCAGAGUCAUCCUCAUCAACAAAAUGGCACGGUCACAUUUAGCACUCUUGAAUGACACGUUACAAAAAGAGAAAACAAUUUGAAAUCAAGUUUUCCAUCUGCAAGGCAAGUAUGUAGAAAAACGAAAACGACUCGUGUGUCUGUUGGCUUCUACAUGAGCGAGGCAACCGUUAGGACAUUUCACCUCGCAACAUCCAGUCUUUAUAUCCGUGUCUCAGCGUUUAGAGCACAAGGACGGUCCUCGUUGGGGUAUCAAAGGGAGCACUGUUCCCUCGGCUUGGCACUCACGAGGGACUGUGCAGAUUCCAAGAGAUGACUUGGGAGAGCUUCUUGUAGAAUGAAUCGAGGCGAAGACGUUCACUUUGAGAAGAGGUAACGUGUGAGGUUUGUUUGCUGAAGAAAUAUUUGUUUCUUUUUUUCGAAAAGCGCUCUACCUUCACUUUGUGGCCCCGGAUGCACCAAACACCCCUCCCCCCCAAAAAAAACUGGUCACUUACCCUUUUCGUCAAAGGGUCCCAUGAAACUUGGGUGAACAUUCUUGGCUACAUGGAACUUAAGACUCACAAGAGAGGAACAAGAGAAUAGAAAAUCAAGCGCUCGGCUGCGGAAAAGCACUGACCACAAUCCUUUCACACACAUACCAGCCUAAUUUCAUCCCCCCUCCCCCCGGUCUUUUUGUCCAUUAAACGUCGGCCCCAUUCAGGCCACUAGGUACCAAGAUAGCAUUAUCUCUCCCUUGAUCCUCGUAUUCCGCCAGUCGUUCGGGGCCUUUUAUCAGCCCCUCCCCCUUGUCCUGCACUCCUGUUACUGUUUGCAAGGACCCAGAUCCCCUUAUGUCAGUAAGAUACAGUAACCUCCUCCACCCAUCCCUCACACAUGCAGGAUCAGGUCCCAGCUGGGGCCUAACGUAAACAAAAACCCAUGCACACACACACACACACACACACACACUUUCAGAAACUAUGGGAGAGAGACAUGGCAUGAUUUGGUAAUGUGAGGCCGGUCCCGGGUGGAGGACAUUCUCAUGAUAAUUAGGGAUUUAGCUGGCGGGAGCGCGUACGGACCCAGACGCGGAUUCCUCAAGGCAAAAAUGUGUUUUUUUGUUCCUGUACAGGGGAACAAUUCCUGGCU